GAUGAAGAACGUAGCGAAAUGCGAUAAGUAAUGUGAAUUGCAGAAUUCAGUGAAUCAUCGAAUCUUUGAACGCACAUUGCGCCCCUUGGUAUUCCGAGGGGCAUGCCUGUUCGAGCGUCAUAUUAACCACUCCCGCUUGCGGGGUCUUGGGCUUCGCCUCCGGGCGGGCCUUAAAAUCAGUGGCGGUGCCGUCGGGCUCUACGCGUAGUAAAUUUUCUCGCGAUAGGGUCCCGGUGGAUGCUUGCCAACAACCCCCAACUUCUUAAGGUUGACCUCGGAUCAGGUAGGGAUACCCGCUGAACUUAAGCAUAUCAAUAGCGGAGGA
RNAcentral lists this unclassified non-coding RNA (325 nucleotides) under soil metagenome. RNAcentral's name for it is "partial contains 5.8S ribosomal RNA, internal transcribed spacer 2, and large subunit ribosomal RNA". The stretch from base 1 to 120 matches the Rfam family "5.8S ribosomal RNA", at positions 35 to 154 of the family's 154-position model. The record is from RNAcentral.